Oreochromis aureus is the source of this 394-nucleotide long non-coding RNA. Lineage: Eukaryota; Metazoa; Chordata; Actinopteri; Cichliformes; Cichlidae. The record is from Ensembl.
GGGCGCCCACACAAACGCAAAGCAGGAGAUGAAGCAUCGCUGAAUAUGUUUCCAAACCAACUUCCUUCCAAGCCAAAGACUAGAAAAUAUGGUGAAGCAUAUCUUCCCUUUGGCUUCACCUGCACAAGUGCUGAGAUUCUGAAGGACCAGCUACUGUUUUCAUGAACUGUGUUUUACACACACAAAGGUUUGCAGUCAGUUCCAAACUUUAGAAAAAUCCAGAGCUGCCACGGCCACUCUGGCCUCAGAAAACCCUCCCUUCUCCAUCUCAUCACCUACAAACAGUGAACAAAGGCAAGCUUAGGACGCAUUUCAUCAAACUGGUGAUCAAGCUGGGCCUCUACAGAAGCAGCUGUGUUGCUCAGCACGAUAUCUGGACUAUAGCCAGGUCUCC